Molecule: ribosomal RNA, 162 nt
Filed under: uncultured bacterium
Lineage: Bacteria
Description: partial 16S ribosomal RNA
Rfam family: Bacterial small subunit ribosomal RNA
Source: RNAcentral
AAUCGUAGGUCAGCAUACUACGGUGAAUACGUUCCCGGGCCUUGUACACACCGCCCGUCAAACCAUGAGAGUUGGCAACACCCGAAGUCGGUAGUCUAACCGCAAGGAGGACGCCGCCGAAGGUGGGGGUUGAUGAUUAGGGUUAAGUCGUAACAAGGUACC